This is a long non-coding RNA of Drosophila ananassae, 817 nucleotides long. RefSeq lists it as uncharacterized. The record is from RefSeq and is a predicted model, not a curated record. The transcript has 2 exons. NCBI's taxonomy places the organism in Eukaryota, Metazoa, Arthropoda, Insecta, Diptera, Drosophilidae.
AUAUAUAUAUUUUUUUUUAUAUAUAUGGGGGAAAGGAGUGCAGGCUUUGAGGACCUUCCAGCUUAUUUCCCGACAGUUUGCUGCUUCCUCGCUCAACUUUUCACUUUAUGUUUAUGUUGUGUGUUGUGGGCUGUGACGUUGGCCACUGACACUUGGCUCCUGUUGCCGCUUUUCCUGUUCUUCCGGCUUUUCGUGCUGCUGCUGUUACUGGUGCUUUUCCGGCUCCUGUCGCCUGUCUCGUUCUUUUCACAAGCGGAUGUGACCGGAGUGGUGGCACCUGGACACGAUGGGUGUUAAAAUAACAGGCACCGAACAUAUUGACUUUUAAAAUAAGCAGCAUGGCGGUAAAUUUUUAUGAAACCCCCACACCUUCCUUCUCCAAUAUCUUUCUUUGCUCGGUGGCCAUUCGAAUCAGCUUUUACCUUGGCCCUGUUCCGGCCGACGGAUGUGCAAAAUGCGAAAAAUUGAGCAUAUUACAAGCUCGGACUCAGACCCCGUAUCCAUGUCCAUGUCCAUGUCCUUGUUCAUGUCCAUGUCCACGUGUGGUUGGCAAUAAUUGUUAAAGUAAGCGGUUGGAAGGAUGCAGGCCAAAUGAUGAAGUGGCCACCAGACUGGAGCUUUGCCUUAUCUGACAAGAUCGAGAGUAUUUCCAACUUUUCAGAGGUGCUUGAUGGUUAAUGAAAGAGCAAUGACAGAUGAUAACUAGCCGGGUAAAUUGUCAAUCCUAUUUUAAGCAAGCAUAUGAAGACUGGAUUCAAUUAAAGUAUGUACUUUACUAACUAAAGUAUAUCUUUAGUUGAAGACCAUAUUUAGUCAA